GAUGAACGCUGGCGGCGUGCCUAAUACAUGCAAGUCGAGCGAACAGACGAGGAGCUUGCUCCUCUGACGUUAGCGGCGGACGGGUGAGUAACACGUGGAUAACCUACUUCUAAGACUGGGAUAACUUCGGGAAACCGGAGCCAAUACCGGAUAAUAUAUUGUACCGCAUGGUUCAAUAGUGAAAGACGGUUUUGCCGUCACUUAUAGAUGAAUCCGCGCCGCAUUAGCUAGUUGGUAAGGUAACGGCUUACCAAGGCAACGAUGCGUAGCCGACCUGAGAGGGUGAUCGGCCACACUGGAACUGAGACACGGUCCAGACUCCUACGGGAGGCAGCAGUAGGGAAUCUUGCACAAUGGGCGAAAGCGUGACGGAGCAACGCCGCGUGAGUGAUGAAGGUCUUCGGGUCGUAAAACUCUGUUAUUGGGGAAGAACAAAUGUGUAAGUAACUAUGCACGUCUUGACGGUACCUAAUCAGAAAGCCACGGCUAACUACGUG
This 497-nucleotide ribosomal RNA is filed under the name uncultured bacterium. RNAcentral's name for it is "partial 16S ribosomal RNA". It matches the Rfam family "Bacterial small subunit ribosomal RNA", at positions 28 to 507 of the family's 1533-position model. The record is from RNAcentral.